RNAcentral lists this ribosomal RNA (373 nucleotides) under uncultured organism. RNAcentral's name for it is "partial 16S ribosomal RNA". It matches the Rfam family "Bacterial small subunit ribosomal RNA", at positions 527 to 896 of the family's 1533-position model. The record is from RNAcentral.
GUAGGUGGCAAGCGUUGUCCGGAAUUAUUGGGCGUAAAGCGCGCGCAGGCGGGUUUUUUAAGUCUGAUGUGAAAGCCCACGGGCUCAACCGUGGAGGGUCAUUGGAAACUGGAGAACUUGAGUACAGAAGAGGAAUGCGGAAUUCCACGUGUAGCGGUGAAAUGCGUAGAGAUGUGGAGGAACACCAGUGGCGAAGGCGGCUUUCUGGUCUGUAACUGACGCUGAGGCGCGAAAGCGUGGGGAGCAAACAGGAUUAGAUACCCUGGUAGUCCACGCCGUAAACGAUGAGUGCUAAGUGUUAGGGGGUUUCCGCCCCUUAGUGCUGCAGCUAACGCAUUAAGCACUCCGCCUGGGGAGUACGGCCGCAAGGCUG